ACUGUGUGGAACACCCUAGUUGUAAUUGGCUGAAUUUAGCUUAAUAACUCCGGUCUGGCACGGCAAAAUUGCUCACCUCUAGAGGGCCCAGAGGUGAAAACCUUGUGUUGAGAAAUAACCUGCAUGGACCCCACGCAGAUGCUCACUCGGACACCUCAUGCUUAGCCAACAAAGCCUGCACUGCUGCAGCUCAGCUCCAGAGGACCCGAAAGCAAGGAACAUGGAGUUGCAUUUACCUGAGUGCUUCCGGGACUUAGGCUGCGCCUGCCAGGCCAGAAAGGUUUGAUGUCCACUCCUAUGCCGGUGUCCUCAGACUUCAAGUUUGCUUGAUGCAUGAUGCUACUCACACAUGCCAAGAGACAGCCACCACAGAUGGGGCAGGACCCACUGCCCAGGAAGAAUAUGUAGCAAUUCUAGUCCCUGCUCUGCCCUAAUCUCUGCCUCCUCCCCUGACUGGCCUCAGCCUCUAAGGCAACUCCCUCCUUCCUGUGGUCCUGUGUCUCAGCAUUACUUCUGGCAUGCUACGUGAUGCUAACUCUCAUCUGGGGAUUUAUUUAUUUCUGUUCACAUUCAAGGUUAUUCUCUCUCGUUCUUUUUUUUUCCCCCUAGUUUGACUCAGCCUCCAUCACCUGACUUUUCUUUCUCUCUGAAAGAGGACUUUCCCACAUCCUGAAUCUCCAUCUUUCUACUUCCCUCAACUUGUCUGUCAGCUUCUAUUUUUGUUCCUCGAUACCUAACAUGCCUUUCCAUGUCUGCAGCUGUAACUUAGCGCCCUCGCCCUGUGGGCCUGUGUCUGUGUCCUGGCAGUCUAUGAGAACCCCGUGUGUCUCACUGCAUCAACUGCUUCACCAAAGUGCAGCAACCUGAGCUGGUAGCUUUUAGAAUCUGAUUUCUUCCCUGAAGACUUUUUAAAAACAUUAUUCAAAUUUAUACCCAUUAGAUGGUCACAAAGGUAGAAGGGCACAGGAAAUGUCCAAAGAGCAACCUUUAAAACUAAAGAACCUUUAAAACUGUUCAGAAUCUGACCUUCCAUCCAUCAUUGUUUACUUAAUCAACAGAAGAGAUGGAUGGGAAAGCAGGUAGGAGAGGGGGCUGGUGGGAGGAAGUGGCUGGGACGUUUGAGAUGUUUUCAAAAACCUGAACUUUAUUCUCUAAAACUGAUAGGGCCUCUUGGAGACAAAAGUCAAGUCAUUAUGUGCAUACUUAAAGUUUUAAGUUUUAAACCUGAGUUAGAGGAUAUAAGCUUAAAUUUGAAUGUGUUUGUAGAAUUGAGCUUAUCAAGUAACUCCUAACAAAUAUUGAUACUUACAAACAACAGAACGGAAACCGUUACUCUGAAGAAACCUAAGUCUUAGUUUCAGUCAUAGUCAAGUGAAGAGCAAACUUACUGACUUCUAUUAAAGGCUCGCCAAGCUGUGAUUUAGGACUGAGCUCCCUGCUGGGCUAGCCCUGGCUAAGGUGUGGAGCACCUAUACCCAAUUCUUUCACAUUCUGCGUCCACAGAAGCCUCUCCUCCCUGUCCUACGGCUCUGGCUUGAGACUGCUUACUCCUUCCAGACCCAGAAGUCGUCCGCCCAAGCCUCCUUUCCCUUUCAACUCCUCCUUAGCCAGAAGUCCUAGUCAGAAGCCGUCUGCCCGAGCCUCCUUCUCUUGUCAAUUGCUCCCUAGUGUACCCUGAAUUGCAUGACUAGCCCUGCUGAGGACUUAGCAUUUUCUCCAACUGAAACCUAGGAGGGCAGGCACCGAAUAAAUCAGAGCACCAGAUUGUAAACAUAAAACAGUAAGUCGUGGGCAUGAGACACAAUAGCCAGACAAGCAAGACAGAUGCAGAUAAAAACAUGGCACCUGAUGGGCCAGAAUGUAGAUGUUGUGUCCAACGUCUUUUGGAGAAACACCAUCAUCCCCUCCCUCCUCGUCCCCAUGGUCACAUUCCAGGCCUUGGUUAUAGGCAUUCUUCAUGACAUCCACCUAGAGACAAAUAAAUAAAUAAAUAAAUAAAUAAUAAAGUCUGAAAGGUGGUGGCAAUGCUUCAGGUUGUCUAAUCAUGAACACUGUGUACCCAUGCACGAAUCUAAUUGAGCUCACCAAGCUAACAGCCAACUAUACCCAGAAAUCAUUAAACUAAGGCCAAAAAAUAUGUCUAUAAAUAAAUUUGUUUAUUGAUGUUGAUAUAUAUAUAUAUAUCAACAUCAAUAAACAUAUAUCAAAAGGCAUCUGUAUAUAGCUAAGUAGAGCAUGGCAAGUUAGUUAAGAAAAGUGCUUAAAAUAUAUCAGGCUGGAUUGAUAGCUCAGGAUUAAGUGUGCUUCCUGCUCUUGCAGAAGACCCCAGGUCAAUUCCCAGCGCCCACAUCCAGGUUCUCUACUCUGGCUCCAGGGCAUCCAACACUCCAACACCCUAGCGCAUCCACCAUCCUGAGUCACAAGGGCCUUCACUACGUGUUUUCUGCUCCCCAGUGCCAGUCAUCCUGCUCCUACCAACCCAGUCAGAGCAGGGUGGAUGCCACCCAACUGCCAUAGCCUGGAGAAGUGUUCUCACCAGUUCCCUGGGUCUCAUGUUGAAAAGAAUUCUCUCUGCAUUCUCACUGUCAUGUCUGCUCUCCAUAAUGGCCAGCAGAAGCUUGGAGGCGUUGUUCUGAGGACAAAGACGGGGUCAGUGCACAUACAAAGUCCACAGCACAGGUCAAAAAUCCCCUGCAUUGGUGGGAACUCAGAUCACACAGCCCUUUUCAUAUUCUCAAUCAGAUGAAAGCUGAAACUUAUUUUUAUUUUGUCAUACUAACAUUUGAAAAUAGAAGGUUUUAAUUUACUUCAUUGUUGAUACAAAGUAAAAGUCAUGAAAGAUGGGAGGAUAUUUUAAAUCACAGGUGUUUUUAAUGGGAAAGUGGCUACACACCACACUGAAUAGAACUAUGGCUUCUUUUAGUGCUUCCUCCGUUAGAUUUCUAUAAUGAUACUUUAAUAAGACAAUCAGAUGAACAGGCAUCAAUGACAUUUUAUAGACACGGCUAGAACUUAGAGAAUUUAGCACAACCAUUUAAAAAAUGAAGUAGUAAUAUUAGUAGCAUACUGAAAUUGCACAUAAACGUGUGAGUCACUGUUGAGAAUAGAUAUAUGAAAUUAAAUUCAUGAGUUAGAGAGAGAAUGAUUUGCUGAUAGUGUGCUUAUUUCACGGCAUUUAUUAUUCAGUAUGUCAGAGAAUAACAUUUUGCUCUAUUCUCUUAAUAAAGGAUGGAAGCGGUUUAUGCUGCCGAUGUGUUGCAUUGUAUUAAUUAUAAACAUUAUCUCAAGUAUUGUUACUUAAGAUAUCGAGGUGUGAAGCAAUCUUCAGUCCUGAGUGGGCACCAGAGCUGCACUGGAAGCAUUCUGUCCUCUGUCAGAGCAACCAUUGAUGUUUGGUAUCAAUCACACCUUUAAAUUUUAUGUCCAGAAAUGUAUGACAUGGAGCCUCUGCCCCUGAACCUUGCCCGCUCCAGGUGUUUUCUGAAUACUAAACACUGGAAAAUAAAAACCCAACCGCCAUAGGGAUUCGAAUUUUCCACAACUGAAUUUUAAAAUUACCUAAGAAGAGGCUCAACAGUUUCCUGAAAGGAAGGUGAGUAACAGCUAAGGAGCUAACACAGUGACCAGAAGGAAAGGUCUCAGUACUUAGCCAAUUUCAGAAUUUUCUGACGUAUAAAAGUAUAUCUCAAAGACCCAUAAGCACAUGUAAAACAAGUACAAGUGACUUUACAAGUGAUGUGCCAAAGGGCUGGAGAGGUGGUGUGUUAGUUGCUUUUCUGUUGCUCUGACAAAACACCAUGAACAAAAGUAACUUGGGGAGACAAGGGUUUAUGUCAUCUUACAACUGUCUGAUCUAUCCGUAAGGGAAGUCAGGGCAGGAACUCAAGGCAGGAACCUGGAGGCAGGAACUGAAGUAGAGGCAUGGAAGAAAGCUGCUUAACAGCUUGCUCAGCCCACUUUCUUACGUGACCCAACAGAGGCACCAUCCACAACAGGUUUGGCCCUCCCACAUCUGUCACUGAUGAGGACAAUGCCCCCACAGACUUGUCUGCAGGUCAAUCUUAUGAGGACAUCUUCCCAAUUAACAUGCCCUCUUCCCAGUUAUAUCUAGCAAUAUAUUAACAAAAACCAACGAGUACAGAGUGCUUAGUGGUUAAGACCCUUGCUGCUCUUCCAGAGGACUGAGUUCAGUUCCCAGCAACCAUGUUAGAUUGUAACUCCAGUUGCAGGGGACCAGACACCAUCUUCUGGCCUCUGCAGAACUCACACACAUGUGGAACACACAGAGAGAACACAAUGUAUCAAAAAACGUGUGUGCACAUUCAAGAAUUCCUACAGAUCUCAUGGGAAAAUGAUAAACUAUAAAGUGAUAACAUCUCUACAGUAUUUAACUGACAAUAAUUUGGUUAUUUCAAAUAUAAACACUAUAAAUUCCAUCCUUGGAGUUUAAUUUCUGUGCUUAGAAAGUUUUAGAUGGUUUUCUUUACUGCACAGAAGAGUGAACUCAAAGGUCUUUCACAUUGCCAGUUGCGCCACACCAAUUAAACUCCAAUUUAGUUUGGUCCUGCAGGGCUAUUUUAGAGUCAUCCUCAUGACCAAAUUCCUCUAUAGAUGGAAGUCCACACUGGAAGCACAAGGGGUAAUUAAACCCCAAGAAUCGAGACAAUGACAAAGCUACAUGAGAUUCUUCAUUUUAUUAUUUCCUUCCCCCACAACAUUUCCUCGGGUUCCCAGGAAGGUCCUCACCUCUCAUCCGAGGGCCCAGGGCCAUGACGUCACUGUCCUCUUCUCUCUUCUUGCUCCCUAAGUCUAUGGUGUUGACGGUCACCGUGGAUCUGAUCUCUUUCUGAGCAGCCUUCAUCCGAUCAUAAAGGACUUUGAAAAAUU
Mus musculus (house mouse) is the source of this 4887-nucleotide long non-coding RNA. RefSeq annotates it as predicted gene, 35596. The transcript is spliced from 4 exons. The record is from RefSeq and is a predicted model, not a curated record. NCBI's taxonomy places the organism in Eukaryota, Metazoa, Chordata, Mammalia, Rodentia, Muridae.